Stegostoma tigrinum is the source of this 279-nucleotide long non-coding RNA. RefSeq lists it as uncharacterized. Lineage: Eukaryota; Metazoa; Chordata; Chondrichthyes; Orectolobiformes; Stegostomatidae. The record is from RefSeq and is a predicted model, not a curated record. The transcript is spliced from 3 exons.
GAAAGUAAAAGGCUAGGAGCAUUUUACAGUACCUCAGAAGAACCGGUGUUGGUCUGCAACGAAAACUAGGGAAAGCUGAAAGAUCUAAGCAGACUGUGGUUUUCCUGUACCACACUCGACCAAGCAGGCCCUAUAGAUCCCUACCCUAAAGGAGGAUGGUGCGUGAAAACCUACCAGGUAGCUCAUGUACAAGAAAGAUGAAAACUUGUGACUAUACUGGAUUGGUUCUACUGAGGCAAGUUCAACUUACAAUCAGGAAGGUUUGUGAGAAAAUACAAG